CCGCUUUCGGGCGGGGAUUAGUGGCGAACGGGUGAGUAACACGUGGGCAAUCUGCCCUGCACUCUGGGACAAGCCCUGGAAACGGGGUCUAAUACCGGAUACUCACUGCCUUGGGCAUCCAAGGUGGUGGAAAGCUCCGGCGGUGCAGGAUGAGCCCGCGGCCUAUCAGCUAGUUGGUGAGGUAAUGGCUCACCAAGGCGACGACGGGUAGCCGGCCUGAGAGGGCGACCGGCCACACUGGGACUGAGACACGGCCCAGACUCCUACGGGAGGCAGCAGUGGGGAAUAUUGCACAAUGGGCGAAAGCCUGAUGCAGCGACGCCGCGUGAGGGAUGACGGCCUUCGGGUUGUAAACCUCUUUCAGCAGGGAAGAAGCGAGAGUGACGGUACCUGCAGAAGAAGCGCCGGCUAACUACGUGCCAGCAGCCGCGGUAAUACGUAGGGCGCAAGCGUUGUCCGGAAUUAUUGGGCGUAAAGAGCUCGUAGGCGGCUUGUCGCGUCGGUUGUGAAAGCCCGGGGCUUAACCCCGGGUCUGCAGUCGAUACGGGCAGGCUAGAGUUCGGUAGGGGAGAUCGGAAUUCCUGGUGUAGCGGUGAAAUGCGCAGAUAUCAGGAGGAACACCGGUGGCGAANGCGGAUCUCUGGGCC
This 647-nucleotide ribosomal RNA is filed under the name Streptomyces sp. Its description in RNAcentral is "bacterial SSU rRNA". It matches the Rfam family "Bacterial small subunit ribosomal RNA", at positions 74 to 735 of the family's 1533-position model. The record is from RNAcentral. Lineage: Bacteria; Bacillati; Actinomycetota; Actinomycetes; Kitasatosporales; Streptomycetaceae.